GGGCUCUCGCUGCAGGAUGAGCCCGCGUCCGAUUAGCUAGUUGGUAGGGUAAUGGCCUACCAAGGCGACGAUCGGUAGCUGGUCUGAGAGGAUGAUCAGCCACACUGGGACUGAGACACGGCCCAGACUUCUACGGAAGGCAGCAGUGGGGAAUUUUGCGCAAUGGGGGAAACCCUGACGCAGCAACGCCGCGUGGACGAUGAAGGCCUUCGGGUUGUAAAGUCCUGUUCUGGGGGAAGAACAAGCAGCAGGCCAAUACCCUGCUGUCCUGACGGUACCCCAGGAGAAAGCUCCGGCUAAUUAUGUGCCAGCAGCCGCGGUAACACAUAAGGAGCAAGCGUUGUCCGGAAUUAUUGGGCGUAAAGAGCUCGUAGGCGGUCCCGAAAGUCAGCUGUGAAAGCACCAGGCUCAACCUGGUAGGGUCAGCUGAAACUUCGGAACUUGAGGGUAGAAGAGGAAAGUGGAAUUCCAGGUGUAGCGGUGAAAUGCGUAGAUAUCGGGAGGAACACCAGUGGCGAAGGCGGCUUUCUGGUCUAACCCUGACGCUGAGGAGCGAAAGCUAGGGGAGCGAACGGGAUUAGAUACCCCGGUAGUCCUAGCUGUAAACGAUGGAUACUAGGUGUAGGAGGUAUCGACUCCUUCUGUGCCGUAGUUAACGCAUUAAGUAUCCCGCCUGGGGAAUACGGUCGCAAGGCUGAAACUCAAAGGAAUUGACGGGGGCCCGCACAAGCGGUGGAGCAUGUGGUUUAAUUCGACGCAACGCGAAGAACCUUACCGGGGCUUGACAUCUUUUUGACCGCCUGGGAAACCAGGUCUUCUUCCUUCGGGAAGACAGAAAGACAGGUGGUGCAUGGUUGUCGUCAGCUCGUGUCGUGAGAUGUUGGGUUAAGUCCCACAACGAGCGCAACCCUUGUCCUUAUUUGCCAGCUUGCUUGCAAGCGCACUCUAAGGAGACUGCCGUAGAUAAUACGGAGGAAGGUGGGGAUGACGUCAAAUCCUCAUGCCCCUUACGUCCCGGGCUACACACGUGCUACAAUGGUCUGUACAGAGGGUUGCCAAGGAGCAAUCCGGAGCCAAUCCCACAAAGCAGGCCUCAGUUCGGAUUGGAGGCUGCAAUUCGCCUCCAUGAAGGUGGAAUCGCUAGUAAUCGCGGAUCAGCAUGCCGCGGUGAUCCGUUCCCGGGCCUUGUACA
This 1192-nucleotide ribosomal RNA is filed under the name uncultured organism. RNAcentral describes it as "bacterial SSU rRNA". It matches the Rfam family "Bacterial small subunit ribosomal RNA", at positions 208 to 1387 of the family's 1533-position model. The record is from RNAcentral.